GACGUAGGGCGCGAGCGUUGUCCGGAAUUAUUGGGCGUAAAGAGCUCGUAGGCGGUCUGUUGCGUCCGCUGUGAAAACCCAGGGCUUAACCCUGGGCUGGCAGUGGAUACGGACAGACUAGAGGUAGGUAGGGGAGAAUGGAAUUCCCGGUGUAGCGGUGAAAUGCGCAGAUAUCGGGAGGAACACCGGUGGCGAAGGCGGUUCUCUGGGCCUUACCUGACGCUGAGGAGCGAAAGCGUGGGGAGCGAACAGG
Molecule: ribosomal RNA, 253 nt
Filed under: uncultured bacterium
Lineage: Bacteria
Description: partial 16S ribosomal RNA
Rfam family: Bacterial small subunit ribosomal RNA
Source: RNAcentral